Molecule: long non-coding RNA, 838 nt
Organism: Mercurialis annua (annual mercury)
Lineage: Eukaryota; Viridiplantae; Streptophyta; Magnoliopsida; Malpighiales; Euphorbiaceae
Exons: 3
Source: RefSeq, a predicted model, not a curated record
ACACAGAACACUCUCAAACACCAAAAUAUUCUCACUAUCACUGACACGCGUUUCUGGCUACAAAAAUACAUCAAUCUUCUUUUUCUUUUGAAAAAUACGACAGUAAUAAACACAUUAUAUGGGUUUAUUCUACACAAUUAAAUUGGUUUCAGAUGUUUAUCCUGUACAACAGUCGUCGUCGUCGUUGCCACUGUCGCCUUUGCCGCCAUCUUCACCGUCCUCAUCGCCACUUUGUCCUUCGCCGCCAUCGUCAAUCAAUGUCAUCGCUAAAUUAGUUGCGGCAUUCUCUUUGCACCACUCCAUGUAGAUAUGAAGGUCCCAUUUGUAUUGCUAUUGUCUUUUUGCAGUUGCUGCUAUCAAAUAGUCCUUUACAAUCUUCAAGCUUUCGUUCACGGAAAUAGAAUGCAAGGAGGCAUACUUAUGUGACAGUCCUGCUUCAGCCAAUUCUCUACACACCAUGCAAGGCUGAGAAAUGAUGUUAUAAUAAGCGUGAAUUGCUCCUUCAAUAUCAAAACCAUCAAGCUUUUGGAAUUCAAGAAGCCUAUCCAGUACUUUAGAACUAUAAACUGCCUGAGCAACUAGCUAUAUGAAACUUGUUGUACUCGGACCAUCUUCUUCAUGGAUAGCUCCCUUUAAUGCAUCUUCAAAAACGUUUUCAAUUACAAUACUAGUUUUUGGGGUACCACCACCCAAACCUCCAAAUAAAAGAGAACCAUUAACGAAAAUUGUUCCGAGGGGUAGCAUAGAGAGCACUUGUUGCUUUUUGUAUUCUUCUCGAGCAUUAUUGCUUUUUGUAUUUUUUUUUUGUAAAUUUUAAAUCCUAUGAUUUAUGCUUGUU